AGAGUUUGAUCCUGGCUCAGAACGAACGCUGGCGGCGUGGAUUAGGCAUGCAAGUCGAGCGCGAAAGUCGCCUUCGGGUGGCGAGUAGAGCGGCGAACUGGUGAGUACAAGGUGGGUAACGUGCCCGGACGUGGGGGAUAACUUCGAGAAAUUGAAGCUAAUACCGCAUGUCGUCCGAAUCCCUCGGGAUUUGGAAGAAAGGUGCAUCGACUUCGGUCGGUGUGCCGCGUCCGGAUCGGCCCGCCUCCCAUUAGCUUGUUGGUGGGGUAAUGGCCUACCAAGGCAACGAUGGGUAGCUGGCCUGAGAGGGUGGUCAGCCACACUGGGACUGAGAUACGGCCCAGACUCCUACGGGGGGCAGCAGUCUAGAGGCAUCCACAAUGGACGAAAGUCAGAUGGUGCGACGCCGCGUGUGGGAUGACGGUCUUCGGAUUGUAAACCACUGUCGCGAGGGAAUAAGGCCGGAGAGGAGCCCCUUUCCGGAUUGAAGGUACCUCGUAAGAAAGCACCGGCUAACUCCGUGCCAGCAGCCGCGGUAACACGGAGGUGCGAGCGUUGUUCGGAAUUAUUGGGCGUAAAGGGCGCGUAGGCGGAUUGGUCAGUCUCUUGGUGAAAUCUUCACCGCUUAACGGGAAAAUUGCCGGAGAUACUACCAGUCUUGAGAGCGGUAGAGGUGAGUGGAAUUCCAGGUGUAACGGUGGAAUGUUUAGAUAUCUGGAAGAACACCAGUGGCGAAGGCGACUCACUGGACCGUAUCUGACGCUGAGGCGCGAAAGCCAGGGGAGCGAACGGGAUUAGAUACCCCGGUAGUCCUGGCCGUAAACGGUGAACACUAGGUGUAGGAGGUAUCGACCCCUUCUGUGCCGCCGCUAACGCAUUAAGUGUUCCGCCUGGGGAGUACGACCGCAAGGUUGAAACUCAAAGGAAUUGACGGGGGCCCGCACAAGCGGUGGAGCAUGUGGUUUAAUUCGAUGCAACGCGAAGAACCUUACCCUGGCUCAAACCGGGGGGAAAAGCAGCCGAAAGGCUGUGUGCUUUCGGGCGUCCCUCGGAGGUGCUGCAUGGCUGUCGUCAGCUCGUGUCGUGAGAUGUUGGGUUAAGUCCCGCAACGAGCGUAACCCUUGUCUUUAGUUACCAGCGCGUCAUGGCGGGGACUCUAGAGAGACUGCCCUCGCAAGGGGGAGGAAGGUGGGGAUGACG
RNAcentral lists this ribosomal RNA (1200 nucleotides) under metagenome. Its description in RNAcentral is "bacterial SSU rRNA". It matches the Rfam family "Bacterial small subunit ribosomal RNA", at positions 8 to 1184 of the family's 1533-position model. The record is from RNAcentral.